GAUGAACGCUGGCGGCGUGCCUAACACAUGCAAGUCGAACGGGAAUCUUCGGAUUCUAGUGGCGGACGGGUGAGUAACGCGUAAGAAUCUAACUUCAGGACGGGGACAACAGUUGGAAACGACUGCUAAUACCCGAUAUGCCGCAAGGUGAAACCUAAUUGGACUGGAGAAGAGCUUGCGUCUGAUUAGCUAGUUGGUGGGGUAAGAGCCUACCAAGGCGACGAUCAGCAGCUGGUCUGAGAGGAUGAGCAGCCACACUGGGACUGAGACACGGCCCAGACUCCUACGGGAGGCAGCAGUGGGGGAAUUUUUCCGCAAUGGGCGAAAACCUGACGGAGCAACGCCGCGUGAGGGAGGAAGGUCUUUGGAUUGUAAACCUCUUUUCUCAAGGAAGAAGUUCUGACGGUACUUGAGGAAUCAGCCUCGGCUAACUCCGUGCCAGCAGCCGCGGUAAU
This 455-nucleotide ribosomal RNA is filed under the name uncultured cyanobacterium. RNAcentral's name for it is "bacterial SSU rRNA". It matches the Rfam family "Bacterial small subunit ribosomal RNA", at positions 28 to 524 of the family's 1533-position model. Lineage: Bacteria; Bacillati; Cyanobacteriota. The record is from RNAcentral.